GACGAACGCUGGCGGCGUGCUUAACACAUGCAAGUCGAACGGAAAGGCCCUGCGUUUGUGGGGUGCUCGAGUGGCGAACGGGUGAGUAACACGUGAGUAACCUGCCCUUGACUUUGGGAUAACUUCAGGAAACUGGGGCUAAUACCGGAUAGGAGCUCCUGCUGCAUGGUGGGGGGUGGAAAGUUUCGGCGGUUGGGGAUGGACUCGCGGUUUAUCAGCUUGUUGGUGGGGGGGUGGCUUCCCAAGGCUUGGACGGGUAGCUGCCCUGGAAGGGUGACCGGCACCAUUGGACUACGGGAGGGACCAGUCGUCAACGGGGGGCAAUCGGCGGGAAAAUUUUCCAACCGGCGGGAGCCUGAUGCAGCAACGCCGCGUGCGGGAUGACGGCCUUCGGGUUGUAAACCGCUUUCGCCUGUGACGAAGCGUGAGUGACGGUAAUGGGUAAAGAAGCACCGGCUAACUACGUG
This 467-nucleotide ribosomal RNA is filed under the name uncultured bacterium. Its description in RNAcentral is "partial 16S ribosomal RNA". It matches the Rfam family "Bacterial small subunit ribosomal RNA", at positions 28 to 507 of the family's 1533-position model. The record is from RNAcentral.